Molecule: long non-coding RNA, 450 nt
Organism: Nycticebus coucang (slow loris)
Lineage: Eukaryota; Metazoa; Chordata; Mammalia; Primates; Lorisidae
Exons: 3
Source: RefSeq, a predicted model, not a curated record
CUUCCACUUCAGAAGACACCUUGGCAGUUUUUUUCAAAACUAAACAUACUCUUAGAAUAUAAUUCAGCAAUUGUACUCUGUGAUAUUUACCCAAAGGAGUUAAAAAAUUUAUGUCACACCAAAAGCUACACAUGGAUGUAUGCAGCUUUAUUCAUAAUUGCCAAAACUUGGAAGCAACCGAGAUACCCUUAAGUAGGCAUCAUUCUACCCUCUGCUUCUAUAAGCUGUUUGGGAUUCCUCAUAUGGUCACCAGAUGGCCACGGGGAGUACUUCAAAGGUGACCACAGUGAUAGUCAGCAAUGAGUUUUUGGCCAGGGCCGAGUUUGAACCCACCACCUCCGGCAUAUGGGGCCAGCGCCCUACUCCUUGAGCCACAGGCACUGCCCUUGAUAUCUGAUAUUUGAGUACAAAUAUCCUGCCCAUUUUAAAAUUUUGAUUUCUUUUCUUGUG